RNAcentral lists this ribosomal RNA (577 nucleotides) under uncultured bacterium. RNAcentral describes it as "bacterial SSU rRNA". It matches the Rfam family "Bacterial small subunit ribosomal RNA", at positions 64 to 672 of the family's 1533-position model. The record is from RNAcentral.
GAACGCCGUAGCAAUACGGAGUGGCAGACGGGUGAGUAACGCGUGGGAACAUACCCCUCGGUUCGGAAUAACUCACGGAAACUUGAGCUAAUACCGGAUACGUCCAAGGUUUUAAUCGACCUUGGAGAAAGAUUUAUCGCCGGGGGAUUGGCCCGCGUCUGAUUAGCUUGUUGGUGAGGUAAUGGCUCACCAAGGCGACGAUCAGUAGCUGGUCUGAGAGGAUGAUCAGCCACAUUGGGACUGAUACACGGCCCAAACUCCUACGGGAGGCAGCAGUGGGGAAUAUUGGACAAUGGGCGAAAGCCUGAUCCAGCCAUGCCGCGUGAGUGAUGAAGGCCUUAGGGUUGUAAAGCUCUUUUACCCGGGAAGAUAAUGACUGUACUCGCAGAAGAAGCCCCGGCUAACUUCGUGCCAGCAGCCGCGGUAAUACCAACGGGGCUAGCGUUGCUCGUACUCAUUGGGCGUAAAGCGCACGUUGGCGGUUUUCUAAGCUCAGAGGUGAUAAUCCUGGACCCAACUCCAGAACUGCCUUAGAUACUGGAGAGCUUGCAUUCGGGAGAGGUGAGUGGUACUGCCG